GAUGAACGCUGGCGGCGUGCCUAAUACAUGCAAGUCGAGCGAACAGACGAGGAGCUUGCUCCUCUGACGUUAGCGGCGGACGGGUGAGUAACACGUGGAUAACCUACCUAUAAGACUGGGAUAACUUCGGGAAACCGGAGCUAAUACCGGAUAAUAUAUUGAACCGCAUGGUUCAAUAGUGAAAGACGGUUUUGCUGUCACUUAUAGAUGGAUCCGCGCCGCAUUAGCGAGUUGGUAAGGUAACGGCUUUCCAGGGCAACGAUGCGUAGCCGACCUGAGAGGUGAUCGGCCACACUGGAACUGAGACACGGUCCAGACGCCUACGGGAGGCAGCAGUAGGGAAUCUUCCGCAAUGGUCGAGAGCCUGACGGAGCAACGCCGCGUGAGUGAUGAAGGUCUUCGGAUCGUAAAACUCUGUUAUUAGGGAAGAACAAAUGUGUAAGUAACUAUGCACGUCUUGACGGUACCUAAUCAGAAAGCCACGGCUAACUACGUG
This 496-nucleotide ribosomal RNA is filed under the name uncultured bacterium. RNAcentral describes it as "partial 16S ribosomal RNA". It matches the Rfam family "Bacterial small subunit ribosomal RNA", at positions 28 to 507 of the family's 1533-position model. The record is from RNAcentral.